CAGAUCCCGUUUCUUUUCCGUCUCGCUGCUGGAACGUGCUGCUGCGCCUCUCGAAUCCAACUGCUCUCUCGCUGUCUCUAGUGACGGUCUUGUUGGUUUUUUUUCUUUUCACCUUUAUUUUUUGGGGUUCAGUUUACUCUUUUCACGGCCCUGUUCGGAGACGACGUUGUCUCAAUCAUUCUUCAUUUUUAUUUUUAGAGAGUACGCGGGGGGCGAGUCGAGAGAUGCUUGGUGCUGCUCUGUGACCUAUCCUGCUGCAUCCUCUCUAUUGCUGCGACCCUAUGGCGUCGUGUGUGGAGCUUUGAGGGAGUUGGUAGUGUGCACUGUGGUUUUGGGAGUACGGCGCGGUGAAUUGCUGCGAAGGGGUUCGGGAUCAAUCGUCGUCCUCUUGGUGAGAAGGUUCUGCUUGCUUUCGGGGACUGCCGUUGGUUUCUCGGUCGGGGCUGCGCUGCCGCGGUGCAUUUGAGCCAGGGACAUGACAGAUUUUCAAAUUUGGUGACAACGUUGGCAAAGCUGCAUGUUGAGUAGUACGAUCAUAUUUGUCUGUACCUGAAACUACUAUUUUUCGAAGCUGAUUGUUUUGGGGCAACAACAGGUUGUGGUGGUGAACAACAAUGAAUCUCCUGUAGUACCGUGGGAUUGUGAUUGCAGAUAACAAGUUUUUUAACAUACAGCUGAGCACCUUAUGUUAUUUCAAACAUGGAUUGAUACUACCAUGAAACUGGGUAGCAAGCUACUUGGAUUCAGUAUCUUUGCUACGUGCUGAAAAAUAUCCUUGUAGACGGACAACGUGAGUAUGAGUGUCGUGUAUUGACCUCACAAGAGAUUUCUGCAAGACUGUGUACCUUGAAUCUGCUGAAGACCCCAGAUCUAUCUUAGUCUUUCUUCCGCAUCAGUGUCUCGAUGACCAGUUUCUUCUAGUUAUAUUUGUGACCUCACCUGUCAACCAGGAACAUUUGGGAAUAGGAAUUCCAUGUAUGAAAGAGACAUUAGGGAAAUGCCAGUGGUGGACAGUGCUACCCCAGGGGUGAGCCCCAGUGCUGUGCCCUUUUCAGCUACCGCAAGCUCCCGGAAAGAGAAAAAGAAACAAGCGAAGGAGGAGAGAGACCGACUGAAGCAGGCAGAGAAGAAAAAACGACGUCUGGAGAAGGCUCUUGCCACCGCUGCCGCCAUUCGGACCGAGCUUGAGAAGAAGAAACAGCGGCGAAAAGAGGAAGAGCAGAGACUAGACGAGGAAGGUGCUGCUCUUGCGGAGGCUGUAGCUCUUCAGGUGUUGGUAGAUGAAGAGUCCGACGGGUUAGGUCGACUUCAAGUGGCUAAAGAAGGGGAACUUCUGAACUUUAGGGAUGGAGAUGAUGGAGGGUCUUCUUCUGGAGACAAAGUCUCUGAUGAAAAGAGUAUGGGCCCUUGUUUGGGAGUACGCCGUCGAGAGACAGUUCAACAGAAUGGUCUAAAGCGACACGGCAGUUUCAAGAGCUCUGGAGAUAAUGAUCGAAGUUUUGAAAGAGAAUCAAAGGAAUGGAAGGGACGUGAAUGGGAGUCUCUUGGAGAGACUCAUUCAGUGAAUGCGCGAGAUGACGCUGGUAUUGACAGCGAGCUCGAAGACGAAGAGGAUACCACAUGGGAGGUUUUCAGCAGUGCAGAAGAGAAAGCUAGGGCCAGCAAUGAGAGAGCUCGACGGGCAGAAGUGGCAGCAGGCCUGGCUGCAGCACAGGCGGUUGCUGCACUUAGGAUUGCCGAAGAAGCUCGAGCUGAAGCUGAAGCUGCAAAGAAAGCUGCAGAAGAAGCAAUGAACGAAGCGCUUGACCAUUGUGAUAUUGUAUUGAAACCAGAAUCCCUUGACGAGCUACACAGGGCCGGGGAAAGGGAAAAAAGAGUGAUUGAGCCUGAGUCAAGGGCAGGGCAUGGAUGAAUCGUGAUGGGGCUGGGACUUGAACAGAAGAAGGCAGUAGCUCUGUGUGUGGAGAAGGAGAGGGAUGAGUUGAAAACUCGUCUGCAAGAGACUGAACGUCAGCUGCAGGAGAAGACUCAACGUGUCUCAGAACUAGAGCAUAAUUUGGAGGAGGUGACUCAGUAUCUACUGGAGUUCAAGGCUAUGUUUGAAGGGGGCAAGCAUGCUUUGCUUACAGUUGGUCAAACUCCUGGUAAAGACACUGGAGCAAGCUUCGAGCAGGAUGAUGCUAUUCCUGCAGAAUCCUCUGGAGGCACAGGUGAUCAAUGACUGUUCAGAGACGCAAUUUAUAAUGUCACUGUUGUGAAGACAUUGAUAUGCAUAGAUUGUAGAAUGGACUUCUUCAACGUGAAUGUCCUCUCAAAAUAUGCAUUAGCUUAAUUUGAACACAUUAAGGACCAUGAAGAUUCACAGAUCCAGGUGCUGGUUCUGUAUCCAAGUCCGAGGACAGUGAAAUUACUCUGUUCGUUUCGAGGUGCAAAUAGCUUUAUGUUGGUUAGCUUUCUCAGGGUAGAAGGGCCAAAGAAUGUGUAGGACGUGGAUGUAUACAAGACUCAGUUGAAAUGUGGAUGUGUACAAGAGUUUCUAAUGAAAAGGCUGGGUUGAAAGAGAACAAGAGAGAUGGGAAUUGGUAGUGGGAUAUGAGACAACCUGAAUGUGGUUGUUGAUUCUCCUGGGCCCCAUCAAUCUGACGUGUUAGUUCUCUAUCCAACUUUUCUUGUUAGUAUCUGAUAAGCUGUAUCUUGACUUGUUUGUAUAAGGCACUGAAGGGAACACUUACAAUUAUGUUUUGACUGAAGC
Physcomitrium patens is the source of this 2752-nucleotide RNA transcript. RefSeq lists it as uncharacterized. The record is from RefSeq and is a predicted model, not a curated record. Lineage: Eukaryota; Viridiplantae; Streptophyta; Bryopsida; Funariales; Funariaceae.